Molecule: unclassified non-coding RNA, 279 nt
Filed under: Hevea brasiliensis (rubber tree)
Lineage: Eukaryota; Viridiplantae; Streptophyta; Magnoliopsida; Malpighiales; Euphorbiaceae
Source: RNAcentral
GUAGAAAAGGACAACAAAGAAGUACCCUUUCGUGAAGGAGCAAGAGCAUGGCCCUCUAAAUACUCAAUAUUUUAGCCAAGCCAAGUUGACUUCCAACAACUCAGCAAUAAUUGCAUUGACUUCAGAAUUCUCAUCAACACUUGAAUCUGCUACUUGGGGUGUCGAUAUUUUUAUGCAAAUUCUGCUUUUCUGAGGUUCAGGAGCCCUAAGAUGAAUGACCCAUUUUAGACUUUGACUAGCUGCUAGUUAGUCUCAAGGACAUUCUUAAUCAACAGUCUA